UAAAAGUGGGGAGGAAAAUGCGCGUUAAAAAUAACAAUAUACUCGUAGUCUUACACUCACAGUCAGCAGUCACCCCUUUCACGCUGACGUCAUGAAAGUUGCACGUUGCGUAUAUAGGUCACAAUGACUAGAGCGCAGUCUCGUGCUCGACGUUUCGCCAUUCAUACUUUUUUGUACGGUCGUUUAUCGACGCCGUCCCGCGUCCUCUUGAUAAAAACGACGCCUUGCCGCGCCGCUCCGCCGCCUGCUCCGCAAGCUGAGACGCAAAAAGUAAAUACUAGUUUGCGCCAGUACAUAGUGGCAGUAUUUUGUUAUCAGUUCAAUUUAAAACAGCUGUGUUUCCUUCUGCGCUCUGUUGAUUUCGCACACAUUCGCCAAACGUACUAUUUUUUUUCACUACUUUCGAGUUGAAUUUUUUCGAAAAAAUUGUGCCAUUUUUUCAAAUUAUUUACCUGUAACAGAGAAUAAAACGAGGGGUUUAGUGAUCUUCGUCCGUAAUAACAGAAAAUCAACGUACACACGUGUAAACUACCCCAGUACCUCUACACAGAAUGACUACUCCGAACAUAACGCCUCAAAAACUGAGCAUCACAGCCACGCCAUUCUUAACGAACGCCGCCCAACAACAAUCUCAACCCGAAUCCUUAUACAGAGAGUCGCAAAUCGAGCCAGGCAAAUGCAGCUGGAUACGAAUAUGGCGUUUAUGUAGACUACUAUUGCACAGCUACGUUUAAAUAAUUCAUUCGUACUGUAAUUUAAUCGUGUCAAGUUUCACCUAUACAGUACCUAUGUAUUAACAAUUUUAUUACCUUUACGUACAUGUACGUUCGUAUGUACCUAUAAUACGUACAUACGUACGUAUUACGUAUUCUCUACAAAAUGCAGCUUCUUAUAUUCUUAGAAUAGAGAAGCAUUGGUGUAGAUUCCAAAGAAUCACCGUACAUUUUUUUUUCAACGUUACCCUUUUACCAUUAUUACCUGUUUCAAUUAUAAAUUUUACCUUAUACUUUAAUUACCUACCAAUUAGACCUAUACCUAUAUACUACCUACUUAACCCACCAAAGUGUAUGUACUAGUGAGCAAGAAGUGACAAACUAUACGCGUAACUCUGCAGUCCGCAAUGCGGAUUUACCAUUUUAAUUGCAAAUCUAGUGUAAAUAGGCCUAUAUAGGAUGCCAUAUUUGUACUGUACUUGUCUUAUAUUUUAGUUUGAUUUUAUUCCUGUUCACCUACUUGUACACCCUUCCUGAAAUUCCCACCUUUUAGUAGAAAAUUCCUUUUUAUCGAGUAGUGUCGUAGAGCAUUAUACUUAGUAUAAUCUGGUUGUAGUGCGAUGCAAUGCAUGUGUCACAAGUAGUCUCUUAUAUAGUCAAAAUUACCACUACUUAUCUUUUCUGUACAAGCGACCAGACAACCAAAAAAUUCAACUUAUCAAGGGAACGUUUUAUCGACUCGUAAUUAGAAUUAAGUGUCUUUUUUUCAAGUUACGAUUGCCUAAUCGAAUUUUUCAUUAAUUUUACCUACCAAAAUUCGAACUGAAAUUUGUAUGUAUUUUGAAAUCUUGAAAAAAUUUCACUACCUCGAAAUUUGCGAUUUAGAUGCUCAAAUUCUCAGUACAGAUUAUCAAAUGAAACUUUGUACAUACGUAGCUUGAAAGUACUCAAAUCUAAAUACGAGUCCACCUUCGUUAGCCUAUAUAAUCCAUCGAUGAUAAGGCAUAACGAUCGCGUUAUCAUACCCCUCGGAGAAUGAGGACGAGAUUAAAAUUUACGCUACCUGUUUUAGGGGAAACACUGCCUUCAAAACAUCAACAAACAAAAAAGUGACAAAAAAUCGAUUUGUUUUUUUCUUUUUCAUUUCUAAACUCGUCAUGUGCAUCACCAUCACGUUAUGCACUAAUAUAAUUAUAUUAUACUUACCUAAUUACUCGAGUAAUUAGGUAAUAGGUAUACAGAGAGUGAAAUUUUUUCGUAUGUCGUAUCAUCUUUCAAAUAAUAAUACCUGUAACUUAUAAGUUUCAUUAUCCAGGUCUCACUUUGAUUGAUACAUUUUAUAUAGUUCUUCCAUUUUAUUCGUUUGUUUUUUUUUUUAAAUUUAAUACUUACUCGUGUACUAAAAUAUCUAUAUAAUUGAGUGAGAAACCGUAUUUUUUUUUUCGUUUUGUUUUGAAUUAACUUUAAAUUACCUAAUAUUCUAAUACGUAGUUAUGGGAAUUCGAUACUUGUUUUUUUUUGUUUUUUUUAGGCUAUUAUUUUUUUUUUCAGUUGGAUUGCUUUUUAAAAUAUAUAAUAUUUCUUCCUCUUUCAAAGCCAUGAUAAUUUCUUUUAAUUAUUAUUUUCGGAGCACCUUGUAUUCCACCAAAUAAAAAUUCUCGUCUUUUAUUCCUUUUUGUGAUCUCUACAAAUAAUGUAAAUGGUAGGUACAUGCAAGAUACAUAUGCAUUUUUAAAAAUGCGUCCACGCUUUGGCAUUUUAAAAUCUGUCUACGUUAACUCAACUCUAGGCUAGGUAUGAUAAAAUUUAAUCCAUUUUUUUGUUUCUUUCAAUCGUUAUCACUGCCUUAUUAAUUUACAUUUCAUCUUCGUAGCAUCUCUACGUACGAACUCGUAUUUUCUUUUGUAGUUGUCGAAUAUCUAUGAAUUUAACCUAGCUACAAAAUAUGAUAUGACCCAUAGUGUUUAUAUUUUUAUUAAAUUAUGGAGUUUCAAAAUUUAUUACCAUCGUUGGGCGCAUGAAUAGCUGAAUUAAUAUGCGAAUGCUACGUAGAAAAUAAUAUCGUUGCCUAUAAUUACAUACCUAUUGGCUAUUAUAAUAUCGUGUACCUACUUUAGAUUUUUUUUGUGUUAUUUUAUUUAUUUAUGUAUUUUUUUUUUAAUUUGUCAAUUUCUUAUAAUAUCAUUGUUAUUAUAUACCGGAUGUGAGAAAAGUCAUCUAUUAUACAUUAUUGUAUUGCUUUAACACGUUUAUCUUACGAAAUAAAUUUAGUUUGAAAUUUCAA
Planococcus citri (citrus mealybug) is the source of this 2997-nucleotide long non-coding RNA. RefSeq lists it as uncharacterized. The record is from RefSeq and is a predicted model, not a curated record. The transcript has 2 exons. NCBI's taxonomy places the organism in Eukaryota, Metazoa, Arthropoda, Insecta, Hemiptera, Pseudococcidae.